Molecule: ribosomal RNA, 847 nt
Filed under: Drosophila immigrans
Lineage: Eukaryota; Metazoa; Arthropoda; Insecta; Diptera; Drosophilidae
Description: partial 16S ribosomal RNA
Rfam family: Bacterial large subunit ribosomal RNA (bases 393-552)
Source: RNAcentral
AAAAACAUGUCUUUUUGAAUUAAAUUUAAAGUCUAACCUGCCCACUGAAAAAAUUAAAUGGCCGCAGUAUUCUAACUGUGCAAAGGUAGCAUAAUCAUUAGACUUUUAAUUGAAGCCUGGAAUGAAUGGUUGGACGAAAUAUUAACUGUUUCAUUUUAAUUUUUAAUAGAAUUUUAUUUUUUAGUCAAAAAGCUUAAAUAAAUUUAAAAGACGAGAAGACCCUUUUAAUCUUUAUAUUUUAUUUAUUUUAAUUGUAAAGAUUAUUUUAUUAUUAAUAAUUUAAAAUAUUUUAUUGGGCUGAUAUUAAAAUUUAAAAACUUUUAAUUUUUAAAACCAUUAAUUUAUGAAAUAAUCAUCCAUUAAUAAUGAUUAGAAAAUUAAGUUACUUUAGGGAUAACAGCGUAAUUUUUUUGGAGAGUUCAUAUCGCUAAAAAAGAUUGCGACCUCGAUGUUGGAUUAAGAUAUAAUUUUGGGUGUAGCCGUUCAAAUUUUAAGUCUGUUCGACUUUUAAAUUCUUACAUGAUCUGAGUUCCAACCGGCGUAAGCCAGGUUGGUUUUUAUCUUUAAUAAAUAGUAACAUUUUAGUACGAAAGGACCAAAUGUUAAAAUAAUUAUAUUUUUUUAAAAGAAUAUUAUUAAAAUUAAAUAAACUAUUUUGGCAGAUUAGUGCAAUAAAUUUAGAAUUUAUUUAUGUAAUUUAUUUUACAAAUAGUACUUGUUUUUUAUAGAAUUAAUUAUGUCAUUAAUAGGAAGUUUAUUAUUAAUUAUUUGUGUUUUAGUAAGAGUUGCUUUUUUAACCUUAUUAGAGCGAAAAGUUUUAGGUUAUAUUCAAAUUCGUAAGGGACCU